Molecule: small nuclear RNA, 312 nt
Filed under: Octodon degus (degu)
Lineage: Eukaryota; Metazoa; Chordata; Mammalia; Rodentia; Octodontidae
Description: 7SK RNA (ENSODEG00000023778.1)
Rfam family: 7SK RNA
About the family: 7SK was discovered as an abundant small nuclear RNA in the mid-70s but a possible function has only recently been suggested. Two independent studies have found that 7SK RNA binds the CDK9/cyclin T complex (known as elongation factor P-TEFb). P-TEFb activates transcription by phosphorylating the C-terminal domain of RNA polymerase II.
Source: Rfam by way of RNAcentral
GAAUGUGAGGGCAUCUGGCUUCGACACGUGUCACCCCACUGAUCCCCAGGGUUGAUUUGGGUUAUCUGGCUGGCUAGGCGGGUGUUCCCUUCCUUUCUUGGUGUUCCCUUCCCUCCUCAGUGCAUCCCUCCUGAAGCUGUGUGAUUGGUUGAAGAGGGCAACCACUCCUGAUGGAGGAGUGAUCCUGAUCAGGGGUGCAGAGUAGAACCUCCAAACAAGCUUUCAAGAAAGUCUUUUCCUGACCAUGUAAUUGGAGUGGUUCCCAUUUGAUGUGUUUAAAAUCACUUUUUAAAGUGGCAGUAGUUACUAUUU